This 406-nucleotide ribosomal RNA is filed under the name Verrucomicrobiota bacterium. RNAcentral describes it as "Verrucomicrobia bacterium partial 16S ribosomal RNA". It matches the Rfam family "Bacterial small subunit ribosomal RNA", at positions 355 to 776 of the family's 1533-position model. The record is from RNAcentral. Lineage: Bacteria; Pseudomonadati; Verrucomicrobiota.
UGGGGAAUAUUGCACAAUGGGCGAAAGCCUGAUGCAGCAACGCCGCGUGAAGGAUGAAGGUCCUUGGAUUGUAAACUUCUGUCCAUAGGGAAGAAACAAAUGACGGUACCUAUGGAGGAAGCCCCGGCUAACUACGUGCCAGCAGCCGCGGUAAUACGUAGGGGGCAAGCGUUAUCCGGAAUUAUUGGGCGUAAAGCGUGCGUAGGCGGCUUUUUAAGCGUGGGGUUUAAGGCUAUGGCUCAACCAUAGUAUGCCCUGCGAACUGGAAGGCUUGAGUACAGGAGAGGAAAGCGGAAUUCCUAGUGUAGCGGUGAAAUGCGUAGAUAUUGGGAGGAACACCAGUGGCGAAGGCGGCUUUCUGGACUGAAACUGACGCUGAGGUACGAAAGCGUGGGGAGCAAACAGG